Callithrix jacchus (white-tufted-ear marmoset) is the source of this 164-nucleotide small nuclear RNA. Its record names the gene U1. It matches the Rfam family "U1 spliceosomal RNA". From Rfam's summary of the family: U1 is a small nuclear RNA (snRNA) component of the spliceosome (involved in pre-mRNA splicing). Its 5' end forms complementary base pairs with the 5' splice junction, thus defining the 5' donor site of an intron. There are significant differences in sequence and secondary structure between metazoan and yeast U1 snRNAs, the latter being much longer (568 nucleotides as compared to 164 nucleotides in human). Lineage: Eukaryota; Metazoa; Chordata; Mammalia; Primates; Cebidae. The record is from Ensembl.
GAAGCCACCUAGCAGAGGAGAUACCAUGAUUAUGAAGGUGGUUUUUCCAGGGCGAGUCUUAUCCAUUGCACUCCGGGUGUGCUGACCCCUGUGAUUUCACCAAAUUUGGAAAACUUGACUGCAUAAUUUGUAGUAGUUGUGGGCUGCCUUCGCGCUUUCCCCUG